UGGAAGUAAAAAGUCGUAACAAGGUCUCCGUUGGUGAACCAGCGGAGGGAUCAUUACCGAGUUUACAACUCCCAAACCCAAUGUGAACGUUACCAAACUGUUGCCUCGGCGGGAUCUCUGCCCCGGGUGCGUCGCAGCCCCGGACCAAGGCGCCCGCCGGAGGACCAACCAAAACUCUUUUUGUAUACCCCCUCGCGGGUUUUUUUAUAAUCUGAGCCUUCUCGGCGCCUCUCGUAGGCGUUUCGAAAAUGAAUCAAAACUUUCAACAACGGAUCUCUUGGUUCUGGCAUCGAUGAAGAACGCAGCGAAAUGCGAUAAGUAAUGUGAAUUGCAGAAUUCAGUGAAUCAUCGAAUCUUUGAACGCACAUUGCGCCCGCCAGUAUUCUGGCGGGCAUGCCUGUCCGAGCGUCAUUUCAACCCUCGAACCCCUCCGGGGGGUCGGCGUUGGGGAUCGGCCCUCCCUUAGCGGGUGGCCGUCUCCGAAAUACAGUGGCGGUCUCGCCGCAGCCUCUCCUGCGCAGUAGUUUGCACACUCGCAUCGGGAGCGCGGCGCGUCCACAGCCGUUAAACACCCAACUUCUGAAAUGUUGACCUCGGAUCAGGUAGGAAUACCCGCUGAACUUAAGCAUAUCAAUA
Molecule: ribosomal RNA, 636 nt
Filed under: Trichoderma harzianum
Lineage: Eukaryota; Fungi; Ascomycota; Sordariomycetes; Hypocreales; Hypocreaceae
Description: eukaryotic LSU rRNA
Rfam family: 5.8S ribosomal RNA (bases 258-411)
Source: RNAcentral